CCCUGGUUAGCUCAGUUGGUAGAGCGCUCCACCUGUAAUGGAGAGGUCCCGGUCUCAAUACCCGGACCAGGCG
RNAcentral lists this transfer RNA (73 nucleotides) under Ixodes scapularis (black-legged tick). It matches the Rfam family "tRNA". From Rfam's summary of the family: Transfer RNA (tRNA) molecules are approximately 80 nucleotides in length. Their secondary structure includes four short double-helical elements and three loops (D, anti-codon, and T loops). The record is from Rfam by way of RNAcentral. Lineage: Eukaryota; Metazoa; Arthropoda; Arachnida; Ixodida; Ixodidae.